GACGAACGCUGGCGGCGUGCUUAACACAUGCAAGUCGAACGAAGUGGCGAACGGGUGAGUAACGCGUAAUCAACCUGCCCUUCAGAGGGGGACAACAGUUGGAAAGGACGGCUAAUCCAGCAUACUGAAGGAGGGGAUGGCGGCGGAUUAGCUAGUUGGGGGGGUAACGGCCCACCAAGGCGAGGAGCAGUAGACGGUCUGAGAGGAUGAACGGCCACAUUGGGACUGGGACACGGCCCAGACCCCUACGGGAGGCAGCAGUGGGGAAUCUUCCGAAAUGGACGAAAGUCUGACGGAGCAACGCCGCGUGAGUGAUGACGGCCUUCGGGUUGUAAAGCUCUGUUAAUCGGGACGCGGUACCGGAAUAGAAAGCCACGGCUAACUACGUGCCAGCCGCCGCGGUAAUAC
This 408-nucleotide ribosomal RNA is filed under the name uncultured bacterium. Its description in RNAcentral is "partial 16S ribosomal RNA". It matches the Rfam family "Bacterial small subunit ribosomal RNA", at positions 28 to 526 of the family's 1533-position model. The record is from RNAcentral.